RNAcentral lists this small RNA (16 nucleotides) under Arabidopsis thaliana (thale cress). RNAcentral describes it as "ATSL306840". The record is from RNAcentral. Lineage: Eukaryota; Viridiplantae; Streptophyta; Magnoliopsida; Brassicales; Brassicaceae.
UAGAGAUCAAACCAAC